GCGCACCUUCGGGUGAGCGGCGGACGGGUUAGUAACACGUGGGAACGUACCCUUUUCUACGGAAUAGCCUCGGGAAACUGAGAGUAAUACCGUAUACGCCCUUUGGGGGAAAGAUUUAUCGGAGAAGGAUCGGCCCGCGUCUGAUUAGGUAGUUGGUGGGGUAAUGGCCUACCAAGCCUACGAUCAGUAGCUGGUUUGAGAGGAUGAUCAGCAACACUGGGACUGAGACACGGCCCAGACUCCUACGGGAGGCAGCAGUGGGGAAUCUUAGACAAUGGGCGCAAGCCUGAUCUAGCCAUGCCGCGUGAGUGACGAAGGCCUUAGGGUCGUAAAGCUCUUUCGCUAGGGAAGAUAAUGACUGUACCUAGUAAAGAAACCCCGGCUAACUCCGUGCCAGCAGCCGCGGUAAUACGGAGGGGGUUAGCGUUGUUCGGAAUUACUGGGCGUAAAGCGCGCGUAGGCGGAUCAGAAAGUUGGGGGUGAAAUCCCAGGGCUCAACCCUGGAACUGCCUCCAAAACUCCUGGUCUUGAGUUCGAGAGAGGUGAGUGGAAUUCCGAGUGUAGAGGUGAAAUUCGUAGAUAUUCGGAGGAACACCAGUGGCGAAGG
Molecule: ribosomal RNA, 607 nt
Filed under: Seohaeicola saemankumensis
Lineage: Bacteria; Pseudomonadati; Pseudomonadota; Alphaproteobacteria; Rhodobacterales; Roseobacteraceae
Description: bacterial SSU rRNA
Rfam family: Bacterial small subunit ribosomal RNA
Source: RNAcentral